Molecule: ribosomal RNA, 845 nt
Filed under: uncultured bacterium
Lineage: Bacteria
Description: bacterial SSU rRNA
Rfam family: Bacterial small subunit ribosomal RNA
Source: RNAcentral
AGAGUUUGAUCCUGGCUCAGGACGAACGCUGGCGGCGUGCCUAAUACAUGCAAGUCGAGCGAGCUUGCCUAGAUGAUUUUAGUGCUUGCACUAAAUGAAACUAGAUACAAGCGAGCGGCGGACGGGUGAGUAACACGUGGGUAACCUGCCCAAGAGACUGGGAUAACACCUGGAAACAGAUGCUAAUACCGGAUAACAACACUAGACGCAUGUCUAGAGUUUGAAAGAUGGUUCUGCUAUCACUCUUGGAUGGACCUGCGGUGCAUUAGCUAGUUGGUAAGGUAACGGCUUACUAAGGCAAUGAUGCAUAGCCGAGUUGAGAGACUGAUCGGCCACAUUGGGACUGAGACACGGCCCAAACUCCUACGGGAGGCAGCAGUAGGGAAUCUUCCACAAUGGACGAAAGUCUGAUGGAGCAACGCCGCGUGAGUGAAGAAGGGUUUCGGCUCGUAAAGCUCUGUUGGUAGUGAAGAAAGAUAGAGGUAGUAACUGGCCUUUAUUUGACGGUAAUUACUUAGAAAGUCACGGCUAACUACGUGCCAGCAGCCGCGGUAAUACGUAGGUGGCAAGCGUUGUCCGGAUUUAUUGGGCGUAAAGCGAGUGCAGGCGGUUCAAUAAGUCUGAUGUGAAAGCCUUCGGCUCAACCGGAGAAUUGCAUCAGAAACUGUUGAACUUGAGUGCAGAAGAGGAGAGUGGAACUCCAUGUGUAGCGGUGGAAUGCGUAGAUAUAUGGAAGAACACCAGUGGCGAAGGCGGCUCUCUGGUCUGCAACUGACGCUGAGGCUCGAAAGCAUGGGUAGCGAACAGAAUUAGAUACCCUGGUAGUCCAUGCCGUAAACGAUGAG